AUGAUAGCAAAGCUGAAAUUUAAAGGAAUUGACGGGAGGGCACCAUCAGGCUUAAUUUGACUCAAAACGAGAAAACUCACCCAAUCCAGACACCGGUAGGAUUGACAUAUCGAUAACUUUUUCUCGAUUCGCUGUGUGGUGGAGCAUGGACAUUUUUAGUUGGUGAAGCGAUCCAUCUGAUUGAGACUCUGACCUGCUAACUAGUGCGCUGAUGUGUGUGUUUAAUCAAUUGCGGAUUCGGCGUUCAUAGCACUCGGGUCUUGGUCAGUUUUAUCACCCACUUCUGAAAGGGACGGGUGGCAGAAAGACACACAAGGCGGAGUGAUGACAGGUCUGUGAUGCCCUUAGAUGUCCGAGGCUGCACGCGCUCAAAAACUGGCGGUAUCUGCAGGGACUUCACACCGGCCCGAGAAACCUCUUAAAUGCCUCCUGUGAUAGGGAUCGGGGCCUGUAACCAACCCCGUGAACGAGGAAUUCCCAGUAGGCACGAGUCAAAGUCGAUCACCUCCCCGCCCUUUGUACAUACCGCUCGUCACUACUACCGAAUGAACGGUCCGGUGAAAUCCUCGGAUCUGGCCGGCGACAACACCAGGAAGCACGUGGCGCAACGGUCGUCAGCAACCCUGUUGCUGUUGUUACCGUUUUCCGCGUAUGCCGUACUUAUUUCUGUCUUGCCUGGAGAAGACGACCGAACCCGAUCGUUUAGAGGAAGUGGAAGUUGUAACACAGUUUCUGUAGGUGAACCUGCAGAAGGAUCAUU
This is a non-coding RNA of Acanthosepion pharaonis, 760 nucleotides long. The record is from the annotation of a GenBank genome assembly. Lineage: Eukaryota; Metazoa; Mollusca; Cephalopoda; Sepiida; Sepiidae.